This 559-nucleotide ribosomal RNA is filed under the name Aspergillus niger. RNAcentral's name for it is "SSU rRNA". It matches the Rfam family "Eukaryotic small subunit ribosomal RNA", at positions 370 to 932 of the family's 1831-position model. Lineage: Eukaryota; Fungi; Ascomycota; Eurotiomycetes; Eurotiales; Aspergillaceae. The record is from RNAcentral.
UUCAGGGUUUCGGAUCCGGAGAGGGAGCCUGAGAAACGGCUACCACAUCCAAGGAAGGCAGCAGGCGCGCAAAUUACCCAAUCCCGACACGGGGAGGUAGUGACAAUAAAUACUGAUACGGGGCUCUUUUGGGUCUCGUAAUUGGAAUGAGUACAAUCUAAAUCCCUUAACGAGGAACAAUUGGAGGGCAAGUCUGGUGCCAGCAGCCGCGGUAAUUCCAGCUCCAAUAGCGUAUAUUAAAGUUGUUGCAGUUAAAAAGCUCGUAGUUGAACCUUGGGUCUGGCUGGCCGGUCCGCCUCACCGCGAGUACUGGUCCGGCUGGACCUUUCCUUCUGGGGAAUCUCAUGGCCUUCACUGGCUGUGGGGGGAACCAGGACUUUUACUGUGAAAAAAUUAGAGUGUUCAAAGCAGGCCUUUGCUCGAAUACAUUAGCAUGGAAUAAUAGAAUAGGACGUGCGGUUCUAUUUUGUUGGUUUCUAGGACCGCCGUAAUGAUUAAUAGGGAUAGUACGGGGGCGUCAGUAUUCAGCUGUCAGAGGUGAAUCUUAAAUUCAAACGCG